AUGUCUGGUCGUCAGUAUACCUUGGCCAAUAACCGAUCGGUGCCAACCUUUGAAAAACUUAACCGGGUGCUAUUUACCACCGACUGGGAAUAUAAAUAUCCCCUAGCCUCAGUUCGGGCAUUAGAAAGAAUUGAGGCCUUAUCGGAUCACGCUCCAUUGCUCACCGAUUUUGGACAACCAAUCCCAAGCUCUGACCGUCACCAAUUUAAAUUUGAAUUUGGAUGGCUGACUAGAGAGGGAUUUCAUGACCUGGUUAAGAAAGUGUGGGUACGCCAGCCACGCGGUAACACACCCAUUCAACGAUGGAAUAAUCGAAUUUGCGCAUUGCGUCGAUUCCUUCGUGGAUGGGCCAAGCAUACUGCUGGCAUCUACAAAAAAGAAAAAUUGCGACUAUCUACCUUAAUUGAUUCCCUUGAUAAAAUAGCGGAGGUGGGGCCUCUGUCUGCAGUUGAGAUUGAGCAAAAAACAAUCUAA
RNAcentral lists this ribosomal RNA (474 nucleotides) under Triticum aestivum (bread wheat). Its description in RNAcentral is "partial small subunit ribosomal RNA". Lineage: Eukaryota; Viridiplantae; Streptophyta; Magnoliopsida; Poales; Poaceae. The record is from RNAcentral.